AACUGCUUCUCUCUGUGUGUGCGGCAAUUGCUGCCGAGGCGGGGAUAGAGAAAGGACAGAUCACGUUGGGGCUUGCUUCCGGUCCUUUACUUAAGGAAAAGGCCUUCA
Molecule: small RNA, 108 nt
Filed under: Bigelowiella longifila
Lineage: Eukaryota; Cercozoa; Chlorarachniophyceae
Description: partial Alphaproteobacteria transfer-messenger RNA
Source: RNAcentral